This 279-nucleotide ribosomal RNA is filed under the name uncultured bacterium. RNAcentral's name for it is "partial 16S ribosomal RNA". It matches the Rfam family "Bacterial small subunit ribosomal RNA", at positions 506 to 784 of the family's 1533-position model. The record is from RNAcentral.
UGCCAGCAGCCGCGGUAAUACGAAGGGCCCGAGCGUUAAUCGGAAUCACUGGGCUUAAAGCGUACGCAGGCGGACAUACAGGCAUCUUGUGAAAUCCCUCGGCUCAACCGGGGAACUGCAGGGUGAACCGUAUGUCUUGAGACUGGUAGGGGCUGUCGGAACGCUAGGUGGAGUGGUGAAAUGCGUUGAUAUCUAGCGGAACGCCGAAGGAGAAAUCAGACAGCUGGGCCAGUUCUGACGCUGAGGUACGAAAGCGUGGGGAGCGAACGGGAUUAGAUA